CGGGCUUAGUGGCGGACGGGUGAGUAACGCGUGAGAAUCUACCUUCUAGAUGGGGACAACCGUUGGAAACGACGGCUAAUCCCCAAUAAGCCGAGAGGUGAAACGGGUAUCCGCUAGAAGAGGAGCUCGCGUCCGAUUAGUUAGUUGGUGGGGUAAGAGCCUACCAAGGCAGCGAUCGGUAGCUGGUCUGAGAGGAUGAGCAGCCACACUGGGACUGAGACACGGCCCAGACUCCUACGGGAGGCAGCAGUGGGGAAUUUUCCGCAAUGGGCGAAAGCCUGACGGAGCAACGCCGCGUGUGGGAAGAAGGCUCUUGGGCUGUCAACCACUUUUCUCAGGGAAGAAGUCCUGACGGUACCUGAGGAAUCAGCCUCGGCUAACUCCGUGCCAGCAGCCGCGGUAAUACGGAGGAGGCAAGCGUUAUCCGGAAUUAUUGGGCGUAAAGCGUCCGCAGGGGGCGCAUCAAGUCUGCUGUUAAAGGUCGGAGCUAAACUCCGGUAGAGCAGUGGAAACUGGUGCGCUAGAGGGCGACAGGGGUAGAGGGAAUUCCCAGUGUAGCGGUGAAAUGCGUAGAGAUUGGGAAGAACACCGGUGGCGAAAGCGCUCUACUGGGUCGCACCUGACCCUCAGGGACGAAAGCUAAGGUAGCGAAAGGGAUUAGAUACCCCUGU
This 671-nucleotide ribosomal RNA is filed under the name uncultured bacterium. RNAcentral's name for it is "bacterial SSU rRNA". It matches the Rfam family "Bacterial small subunit ribosomal RNA", at positions 87 to 791 of the family's 1533-position model. The record is from RNAcentral.